This 464-nucleotide ribosomal RNA is filed under the name Vreelandella stevensii. RNAcentral's name for it is "partial 16S ribosomal RNA". It matches the Rfam family "Bacterial small subunit ribosomal RNA", at positions 338 to 795 of the family's 1533-position model. The record is from RNAcentral. Lineage: Bacteria; Pseudomonadati; Pseudomonadota; Gammaproteobacteria; Oceanospirillales; Halomonadaceae.
CCUACGGGCGGCAGCAGUGGGGAAUAUUGGACAAUGGGCGAAAGCCUGAUCCAGCCAUGCCGCGUGUGUGAAGAAGGCCUUCGGGUUGUAAAGCACUUUCAGUGGGGAAGAAAGCCUUGGGGCUAAUACCCUCGAGGAAGGACAUCACCCACAGAAGAAGCACCGGCUAACUCCGUGCCAGCAGCCGCGGUAAUACGGAGGGUGCGGGCGUUAAUCGGAAUUACUGGGCGUAAAGCGCGCGUAGGCGGUCUGAUAAGCCGGUUGUGAAAGCCCCGGGCUCAACCUGGGAACGGCAUCCGGAACUGUCAGGCUAGAGUGCAGGAGAGGAAGGUAGAAUUCCCGGUGUAGCGGUGAAAUGCGUAGAGAUCGGGAGGAAUACCAGUGGCGAAGGCGGCCUUCUGGACUGACACUGACGCUGAGGUGCGAAAGCGUGGGUAGCAAACAGGAUUAGAUACCCGGUAGUC